Molecule: ribosomal RNA, 253 nt
Filed under: uncultured bacterium
Lineage: Bacteria
Description: partial 16S ribosomal RNA
Rfam family: Bacterial small subunit ribosomal RNA
Source: RNAcentral
UACAGAGGGUGCGAGCGUUAAUCGGAAUUACUGGGCGUAAAGCGCACGUAGGUGGCUUGGCAAGUCGGGUGUGAAAUCCCCGGGCUCAACCUGGGAACUGCAUUCGAGACUGCCUUGCUAGAGUAUGGGAGAGGGAAGUGGAAUUUCCGGUGUAGCGGUGAAAUGCGUAGAUAUCGGGAGGAACACCCGUAGCGAAGGCGGCACUCUGGGCCGUGACUGACGCUGAGGAGCGAAAGCGUGGGGAGCAAACAGG